Danio rerio (zebrafish) is the source of this 71-nucleotide non-coding RNA. NCBI's taxonomy places the organism in Eukaryota, Metazoa, Chordata, Actinopteri, Cypriniformes, Danionidae. The record is from Rfam.
GCAUUGGUGGUACACUUGUGAAAUGCUCGCCUGUUACGUGGGAGACCUGGGUUCCAUUCCCAGCUAAUUCA